AUCUCAAUUGAAUAAUGAUGAUUGGUUUGAUCACAAUUGUUUGUGAAAUGUGCUGCCAUUUAAUUUGUUACAAUUCAGCACAUUAACCAUCUGAUU
Small nucleolar RNA from Cyprinus carpio (common carp), 96 nucleotides. RefSeq annotates it as small nucleolar RNA U13. NCBI's taxonomy places the organism in Eukaryota, Metazoa, Chordata, Actinopteri, Cypriniformes, Cyprinidae. The record is from RefSeq and is a predicted model, not a curated record.